RNAcentral lists this ribosomal RNA (492 nucleotides) under uncultured bacterium. Its description in RNAcentral is "partial 16S ribosomal RNA". It matches the Rfam family "Bacterial small subunit ribosomal RNA", at positions 29 to 507 of the family's 1533-position model. The record is from RNAcentral.
AGUGAACGCUGGCGGUAGGCCUAACACAUGCAAGUCGAACGGCAGCACAGUAAGAGCUUGCUCUUACGGGUGGCGAGUGGCGGACGGGUGAGGAAUACAUCGGAAUCUACUUUUUCGUGGGGGAUAACGUAGGGAAACUUACGCUAAUACCGCAUACGACCUACGGGUGAAAGCAGGGGAUCUUCGGACCCUGCGCGAUUGAAUGAGCCGAUGUCGGAUUAGCUAGUUGGCGGGGUAAAGGCCCACCAAGGCGACGAUCCGUAGCUGGUCUGAGAGGAUGAUCAGCCACACUGGAACUGAGACGCGGUCCAGACUCCUACGGGAGGCAGCAGUGGGGAAUAUUGGACAAAGGGCGCAAGCCUGAUCCAGCCAUACCGCGUGGGUGAAGAAGGCCUUCGGGUUGUAAAGCCCUUUUGUUGGGAAAGAAAAGCAGCAGGUUAAUACCCCGCUGUUCUGACGGUACCCAAAGAAUAAGCACCGGCUAACUUCGUG